GAUGAACGCUGGCGGCGUGCCUAAUACAUGCAAGUCGAGCGAACAGACGAGGAGCUUGCUCCUCUGACGUUAGCGGCGGACGGGUGAGUAACACGUGGAUAACCUACCUAUAAGACUGGGAUAACUUCGGGAAACCGGAGCUAAUACCGGAUAAUAUAUUGAACCGCAUGGUUCAAUAGUGAAAGACGGUUUUGCUGUCACUUAUAGAUGGAUCCGCGCCGCAUUAGCUAGUUGGUAAGGUAACGGCUUACCAAGGCGACGAUGCGUAGCCGACCUGAGAGGGUGAUCGGCCACACUGGAACUGAGACACGGUCCAGACUCCUACGGGAGGCAGCAGUAGGGCAUCUUCCGCAAUGGGCGAAAGCCUGACGGAGCAACGCCGCGUGAGUGAUGAAGGUCUUCGGAUCGUAAAACUCUGUUAUUAGGGAAGAACAAAUGUGUAAGUAACUAUGCACGUCUUGACGGUACCUAAUCAGAAAGCCACGGCUAACUACGUG
RNAcentral lists this ribosomal RNA (497 nucleotides) under uncultured bacterium. Its description in RNAcentral is "partial 16S ribosomal RNA". It matches the Rfam family "Bacterial small subunit ribosomal RNA", at positions 28 to 507 of the family's 1533-position model. The record is from RNAcentral.